Molecule: non-coding RNA, 23 nt
Filed under: Arabidopsis thaliana (thale cress)
Lineage: Eukaryota; Viridiplantae; Streptophyta; Magnoliopsida; Brassicales; Brassicaceae
Source: RNAcentral
CAAUCAUUUCGAAUUAUCGACCA